This 1024-nucleotide long non-coding RNA is filed under the name Chloebia gouldiae (Gouldian finch). RNAcentral's name for it is "Erythrura gouldiae (Gouldian finch) lncRNA (ENSEGOG00005010645.1)". Lineage: Eukaryota; Metazoa; Chordata; Aves; Passeriformes; Passeridae. The record is from RNAcentral.
CAAUGUCCCCAAAUGUUCCAAAUCCCCAAAUGUCCCAAAUGUCCCCCAAUGUCCCCAAUGAUCCCAGUGUCCCAAACAUCCCCAAUGUUCCAAAUCCCCAAAGGUCCCCAAGGUCCCAAAUGUCCCCAAUGCCCCCAAUGUCCCAAAUGUCCCCAAUAUCCCCAAUAUCCCAAAUGUCCCAAAUGUCCCCAGUGUCCCCAAUGUCUCCAAUGUCCCCAAUGUCCCUUCUGAUGUCCCCUCUGAUGUCCCCUCUGAUGUCCCCAAUGUCCCCAACAUCCCUAAUGUCCCCAAUAUUCCCAAUGCCCCAAAUGUCCCCUCUGAUGUCGCCAAUGUCCCCAAAUGUCCCCAAACCCCCCAACAUCCCCAAUGUCCCCAAUGCCCCCAAAUGUCCCCAACGUCCCCAAUGUCUCCAAUGUCCCCAAUGCUCCCAAAUGUCCCAAAUGUCCCCAACGUCCCCAAUGUCCCCAAUGUCCCCAAUGAUCCCAACAUCUGCAAUGUCCCCAAUGUCCCCAAUCCCCUCAAUGUCCCCAAUGUCCCCUCUGAUGUCCCCUCUGAUGUCCCCAAUGUCCCCUCUGAUGUCCCCUCGUUGUCCCCAGCGCCCCCUGGGCUCCCGCAGUCAGGACCUGCUGGGACAUGGCUGAUGUCCCCAAUCCCCCCAAAUGUCCCCAAUGUCCUCAACAUUCCAAAUGUCCCCAAUGUCCCCAAUGUCCCCUCUGAUGUCCCCAAUGUCCCCUCUGAUGUCCCCUCGUUGUCCCCAGCGCCCCCUGGGCUCCCGCAGUCAGGACCUGCUGGCCGGGCCGGCUCCGCAGCGCCUCCUGUUGGCGUUCCGGGAGCGCCUGGCGGCCAUCACGGAGCGCAUCCAGGCCCGGAACGCGGCGCUGGCGCUGCCCUACCCCUACCUGGAGCCCACCUGCGUGCAGGAGAGCAUCUCCAUCUGAGGGCACCCGUGACACCCCCUCUGUCACCUGUGUGUCACCUGUGCCACCCACCUGUGUCACCUGUGUGUCACCUGUGUGUCACCUGU